RNAcentral lists this transfer RNA (77 nucleotides) under Aeromicrobium ginsengisoli. RNAcentral's name for it is "tRNA-Pro". It matches the Rfam family "tRNA". Rfam says of the family: Transfer RNA (tRNA) molecules are approximately 80 nucleotides in length. Their secondary structure includes four short double-helical elements and three loops (D, anti-codon, and T loops). The record is from RNAcentral. Lineage: Bacteria; Bacillati; Actinomycetota; Actinomycetes; Propionibacteriales; Nocardioidaceae. RNAcentral also lists the same sequence under 12 other names.
CGGGCUGUGGCGCAGCUUGGUAGCGCGCGUCGUUCGGGACGACGAGGCCGCAGGUUCAAAUCCUGUCAGCCCGACCA